AUGUUUACUUGUGUUCUUCUAUUAUUGACUGUAACUGAAGGUUACAGAGCUAAAGAAGUCAUCAGUCCGUACAGAGAUGUAACGUUUGCUACUGAAUCUGAGGAUGUGAAUCUGUCUUGUAAAUACACUGGUUCUGUUGAUAGUCUUCACUGGUAUCGUCAAUAUGCUGCUUCACCACCACAGUUUCUUAUACUGGAUUAUAAUGGAGUCAGCACUGAAGCUGUUCCUCCAGUUUCUGGAAUCUCCAUCAAACACAGAAACACAGAGAAGAGUGUUGAUCUGAAGAUCUCUUCUGUUAAAGUCACAGACUCUGAUCUGUAUUACUGCGCCCUGGAGCCCACAGUGACACAAAACACAACAACACUGAACAAAAACAUGACUGAUGAUCCUGAGAGGAUAAGCCUUGUCAAAGAUUGGAAGCGGCCAUCGAGUGUGAAAGAAGUGUUGAAGUUCCUUGGCUUCACAGGGUACUAUAGGCAAUUCAUUGAGGGAUAUGCAUCGCUGGCAUCACCCCUGUAUCAGCUUACCUCUGGAGACCCUAAGUAA
Molecule: non-coding RNA, 546 nt
Organism: Triplophysa dalaica
Lineage: Eukaryota; Metazoa; Chordata; Actinopteri; Cypriniformes; Nemacheilidae
Source: the annotation of a RefSeq genome assembly